Molecule: ribosomal RNA, 377 nt
Filed under: uncultured eukaryote
Lineage: Eukaryota
Description: SSU rRNA
Rfam family: Eukaryotic small subunit ribosomal RNA
Source: RNAcentral
AGCUCCAAUAGCGUAUAUUAAAGUUGUUGCAGUUAAAAAGCUCGUAGUUGGAUUUCGGGGCGGCCACCCCGGUCCACCGCGAGGUGUGUCACUGGCGUGGCUGCUCUUCUUCGCAGAGACUGCGUGUGCUCUUGACUGAGUGUGCGUAGGAUUUGCGACGUUUACUUUGAAAAAAUUAGAGUGUUCAAAGCAGGCUGAGUGCCUGAAUACAUAAGCAUGGAAUAAUGGAAUAGGACGUCGCUCCUAUUUUGUUGGUUUCUGGGAGCGACGUAAUGAUUAACAGAGAUAGUUGGGGGCAUCCGUACUUCGUUGUCAGAGGUGAAAGUCUUGGAUUUACGAAAGACGAACUACUGCGAAAGCAUUUGCCAAGAGUGUUU